UACGUAGGGGGCAAGCGUUAUCCAGAUUUACUGGGCGUAAAGCGCGUGUAGGCGGCUGGUUAGGUGUGAUGUGAAAUCUUCGGGCUCAACCCGAAAACUGCAUUGCAAACCGGCCUGGCUAGAGUGCAGGAGAGGGAAGCGGAAUUCCAGGUGUAGCGGUGAAAUGCGUAGAUAUCUGGAGGAACACCGGUGGCGAAGGCGGCAUCCUGGACCGGCAUUGACGCUGAGGCGCGAAAGCCAGGGGAGCAAACGGG
Molecule: ribosomal RNA, 254 nt
Filed under: uncultured bacterium
Lineage: Bacteria
Description: partial 16S ribosomal RNA
Rfam family: Bacterial small subunit ribosomal RNA
Source: RNAcentral